AGCAGCCGCGGUAAUUCCAGCUCCAAUAGCGUAUAUUAAAGUUGUUGCAGUUAAAAAGCUCGUAGUUGAAUUUUGGGUUUGGCCGAUUGGUCCGUUCUUGUAGCGAGUACUGGUCGGUUGAGCCUCAUCGCUUGGGGAAGCGUAAUGUCCUUUAUUGGGUGUUGCGAAUAGUCCAAGACCUUUACCUUAGAAAAAAUUAGAGUGUUUAAAGCAAGGCAUAUGCCAGAAUACAUUAGCAUGGAAUAAUAGAAUAGGACAAUGAUUCUAUUUUGUUGGUUUCUAGGACCGUUGUAAUGAUUAAUAGGGAUAGUUGGGGGCAUUAGUAUUCAAUUGUCAGAGGUGAAAUUCUUGGAUUUAUUGAAGACUAACUACUGCGAAAGCAUUUGCCAAGGAUGUUUUCA
RNAcentral lists this unclassified non-coding RNA (401 nucleotides) under uncultured Glomus. Its description in RNAcentral is "SSU rRNA". It matches the Rfam family "Eukaryotic small subunit ribosomal RNA", at positions 569 to 972 of the family's 1831-position model. Lineage: Eukaryota; Fungi; Glomeromycota; Glomeromycetes; Glomerales; Glomeraceae. The record is from RNAcentral.